GCCUCUUCCCCGCCUACUGGGUUGCCGAAGUCCGGCGGCAGAAGGUUGCGGUGCUUUCCUUCUUUCUCUUUUUCUUUUUUUUUUUUUCUUCGGCGGUUUGCGUUUUUUUUAGGAGACUCUGUGGUUUAAAAGCCAGAGAGAAUCUGGAAAGGAGCCACCACUCCUAGCCCUCUUUCCUCCCGAGUUUGCGACUCCCCGGGGCAAAAUGGACAAAGUCUGUGCUGUUUUCGGAGGCUCCAGGGGCAUUGGGAGGGCAGUGGCCCAGUUAAUGGCCCAAAAAGGCUACCGACUGGCCAUCAUCGCCAGAAAUCUGGAAGUGGCCAAAGCCGCCGCCGGUGAGCUCGGCGGAGAUCAUUUAGCACUUAGCUGUGAUGUUGCCAAAGAACGUGAUGUUCAAAAUACAUUUGAAGAGAUGGAAAAAAAUUUAGGUCGAGUUAAUUUCUUGGUAAACGCAGCUGGAAUUAACAGGGAUAGCCUUUUAGUAAGAACAAAAACUGAAGAUAUGAUAUCUCAGCUUCAUACUAACCUCUUGGGUUCCAUGCUGACUUGUAAAGUUGCCUUGAAGACUAUGAUUCAACAGCAGAGAGGGUCUAUUGUUAAUGUAGGAAGUAUUAUUGGUUUAAAAGGCAAUUCUGGCCAGUCUGUGUACAGUGCAGGUAAAGGAGGAGUAGUUGGAUUUUCACGCGCUCUUGCUAAAGAAGUAGCAAGAAAGAAAAUUAGAGUGAAUGUAGUCGCACCAGGACUUUGUUCUGGCCACCACUGCAACCCCACCACCAGCAUAAGAAAUGUACCUUUCAGGCACUGAUUAAGAUUUGUAGGACGAAUACACAUCUGCACUGGAAUUAUUCAUGUGAAAAACACCUGAUGGACAUGGGGUUCGUGUUCAAGCCUGGCCGCUCACCAGCUCCCUGACCUUGGACAAGUUAAUCAAACCUCACUGAGCUCAGUUCUGUCACCUGCAAUUUGCGAGUGACACUGAUAACAUCACGUGAGUAAAUGCUGUAGGUAUACGAAAAGCUCUUGUCGAUUGUUAUUCUCUUAUUCAAUUCUUCAAACCCAAACUCUACUCUUCUACUCUUUUUGGUUUCUGAUGCCUCCUGAGGAAGGCCCUGAACUUAAAUAGUACUUCGAACAUUUUACAUCAUGGGUCCUGAGAAAGGUAGUCUGUAUCUCUUCCUCCUAUUAUACACACUGUAUUUUGGAAGCUAAACUUCCACAGAAAACAGAACUCUUAAAAAGCUAUGUUUUCAGCUUACCUUUGGCUUUGGAUUCCCAGUCACCCUGCAUGUGAAAGUUACAGGCAUUCCCUCAAAGAUCUUGUAAUGUUUUAGCUUCAUCUCAAACAACGGUGCCACUCCAUUUUCCACAGGCACGUCCCCAUACUGAAUGUCAUCACCUGAUUCAUCCACAGGAGACCUCUCUAGCCUGUACUCGAUUUCACUGAUGAGUCUCUGUUCACAGCUGGAGACUUUGUAUUCCUGUAUCAGGCGGAAAAAGGUCAUGUUAGCAACCUCAGUCCCGUGUGGUCCCACGUGUCUCAGGAGUCUUAUUCUCCUCUCCAAUGAGGCACUCAGAAGACAGUGAUCUUUUUACCAGAGACUUAAAAACAAGUCUGAACCCAA
This is a non-coding RNA of Leptonychotes weddellii (Weddell seal), 1622 nucleotides long. The record is from RefSeq and is a predicted model, not a curated record. Lineage: Eukaryota; Metazoa; Chordata; Mammalia; Carnivora; Phocidae.